UGGAUCCAUGGUGACUACUGGCGGCGCAUGAGACAUAGACAAUGACUGCGUGUCCCACUCUGAGGUCCGG
Small nucleolar RNA from Pteronotus mesoamericanus, 70 nucleotides. RefSeq annotates it as small nucleolar RNA SNORD113/SNORD114 family. The transcript has a single exon. NCBI's taxonomy places the organism in Eukaryota, Metazoa, Chordata, Mammalia, Chiroptera, Mormoopidae. The record is from RefSeq and is a predicted model, not a curated record.